GAAGCUGGUAGAGCAAACGACUGAAAAUCGUUGGGUCGCCGGUUCAAGUCCGGCC
Molecule: transfer RNA, 55 nt
Filed under: Deinococcus sp. RL
Lineage: Bacteria; Thermotogati; Deinococcota; Deinococci; Deinococcales; Deinococcaceae
Rfam family: tRNA
About the family: Transfer RNA (tRNA) molecules are approximately 80 nucleotides in length.
Source: Rfam by way of RNAcentral